RNAcentral lists this ribosomal RNA (245 nucleotides) under uncultured Prevotella sp. RNAcentral describes it as "partial 16S ribosomal RNA". It matches the Rfam family "Bacterial small subunit ribosomal RNA", at positions 524 to 768 of the family's 1533-position model. The record is from RNAcentral. Lineage: Bacteria; Pseudomonadati; Bacteroidota; Bacteroidia; Bacteroidales; Prevotellaceae.
UACGGAAGGUCCGGGCGUUAUCCGGAUUUAUUGGGUUUAAAGGGAGCGCAGGCUGUUUGUCAAGCGUGACGUGAAAUGUGGCGGCUCAACCGCCGAACUGCGUCGCGAACUGGCUGACUUGAGUGCGGACGAGGUAUGCGGAAUUCGUGGUGUAGCGGUGAAAUGCUUAGAUAUCACGAAGAACCCCGAUUGCGAAGGCAGCGUACCAGGCCGUAACUGACGCUAAUGCUCGAAGGUGCGGGUAU